This 66-nucleotide transfer RNA is filed under the name Cylindraustralia sp. HS-2014. RNAcentral describes it as "tRNA-Trp". It matches the Rfam family "tRNA". Rfam says of the family: Transfer RNA (tRNA) molecules are approximately 80 nucleotides in length. Their secondary structure includes four short double-helical elements and three loops (D, anti-codon, and T loops). Lineage: Eukaryota; Metazoa; Arthropoda; Insecta; Orthoptera; Cylindrachetidae. The record is from RNAcentral.
AAGGUUUUAAGUUAUUUAAACUAUUAGCCUUCAAAGCUAAAAAUAAAAUUAAAAUUUUAAACCUUA